ACACGUAGGGGGCGAGCGUUGUUCGGAAUCAUUGGGCGUAAAGGGCGCGCAGGCGGCGAGGCAAGUCCGGUGUGAAAGUGCUCGGCUCAACCGAGUGAUGCGCUGGAAACUGCCCUGCUUGAGUACAGGAGGGGACGUCGGCAUUCCAGUGGGAGGGGGGAAAUCUGUAGAUAUCUGGAAGAACCCCGGUGGCGAAGGCGGACGUCUGGCCAUGUACUGACGCUGAGGCGCGAAGGUGCGGGGAGCGAACAGGUUUAGAUACCCUGGUAGUCCGCACAGUAAACGAUGUGCACCAGGUGGCGGGGGGUAGCCCUCGGUACCGAAGCCAACGCAUUAAGUGCACCGCCUGGGGAGUAUGCUCGCAAGGGUGAAACUCAAAGGAAUUGGCGGGG
This 392-nucleotide ribosomal RNA is filed under the name uncultured bacterium. RNAcentral's name for it is "partial 16S ribosomal RNA". It matches the Rfam family "Bacterial small subunit ribosomal RNA", at positions 523 to 918 of the family's 1533-position model. The record is from RNAcentral.